This 22-nucleotide microRNA is filed under the name Blattella germanica (German cockroach). RNAcentral's name for it is "Bge-Novel-2-P5_5p (mature (guide))". The record is from RNAcentral. Lineage: Eukaryota; Metazoa; Arthropoda; Insecta; Blattodea; Blattellidae.
GCUCGAACUCAAGUCUGAACGA